Vigna unguiculata (cowpea) is the source of this 209-nucleotide long non-coding RNA. The record is from RefSeq and is a predicted model, not a curated record. Lineage: Eukaryota; Viridiplantae; Streptophyta; Magnoliopsida; Fabales; Fabaceae.
GCUCAUUCCAAGUUGCAGGGAACCCUUGGGAACCCCCUAGUAAAUCACUUUUAGAAAGAAGUUGCAGUUCAUUGCACCAACUGAAGCUAUGAGUGUCGAUAUUAUACCAUGAGGCACAUGCAUAGAAUCAUAUCCGCAAACAUUGUUGACUCAUGGGAUAUGAUUUUCAAUGACACAUCUCCAAUGGAUCAAGGAGUCUUGAAGGAAGU